AUGAAGUUUCUGGUGAUUUUCCUGUCCCUGUUGGCUGCCCCGGGAUAUGUCCUGUCGCAAGUUCAGCUGGUCCAGUCCGGCCCAGGCGUGGUGAAGCCCGGGGAGACCCUCACACUGACCUGCUCUAUCACUGGGGACUAACAGCUACUGGGAAUGGGUCCGGCAGGCUCCUGGGAAAGGGCUGGAUUGGGUGGGACAGAUCGACUGGGCUGCCUCCAAAUGGCGCAUAUACUAUGGCCCGUCUUUCCAGAGCCGCGCAACCCUCAGUGCAGAUUCCUCCAAGAACCAGUUCUCCCUGCAGCUCCGCUCGCUGACAGCUGCAGACACCGCCACGUGUUACUGCGCUAGAGACACA
Molecule: non-coding RNA, 355 nt
Organism: Chrysemys picta bellii (western painted turtle)
Lineage: Eukaryota; Metazoa; Chordata; Testudines; Emydidae
Source: the annotation of a RefSeq genome assembly